UUAUCCUCUUAUUUUUUCUUCUCUUCUUCUAAUCUAAACCGAGCUCUGCGAAACCAAAUCCAAGUUUCCAGAAAUCAAAACCCAUUCCUCUUAAACCCUAAUCUCAUAAAUCAAAUCUUAUCUUUCGGAAAUGAAACCCAAUCUUUCGAUAAGUCAAACCCUGGAAAUCUUUUUUCUCUGUAAAAUCAAAUGGCUCUAUAAGGUGUGAAGUUUCUCUCUGGUGAUGACCUACUGGAUCCUGCUGGAUGCGAGCUGAGAAUAGAGAAAGAAGAGGGAGAUCGAAUUUGAUUGGUGGUAGUUGCUUCAGAUGGUGGAGUUUAGGAGUGAUUGCAAUGGUUUGCAGGUGAGGAAUGGUAGAGAUAAUGCAUAGAACUGGUGGUGUUUGGAGCAACAGAAGAUGAAAUGGGUUUUGCAGUUUUAGUCUGAAGUUAAGUUGCAGGUUCAGGAGAUGGAUUUGGUUACUGCUAAUGGAUAGAGGAGGUAUGUACUGAAAUGGCAGUUCCUGGUGGUUAUGUUGGUGAAUGUUGCCUGAGGAAUCUGAGUGGGAGAUGGAACUGUUAGUGUUGAUGAGAUGGUUUGUUUUUGAAGCUGUAUGUGGAUAAAAUGCAGAGAAACAGUGGGUUGUAUUUUUGCUGAUGCAGUGGAUGUAUGAGAUGGAGAUGGUUGAGCAGCAGAGAGGCCUUGAAAUGUGAUGUGCUUGGAUCUUGUUGUUGCCAAGAGAAUGGACUGUCUUGGUGAUGUGUAAACAGGGAAGAAGAACAAAUCUGGUGUUGCAGUUGAAUGAAUGGAUUGAGCUGAUGUUGAGGAAUGAGCUGAAUUGCAGAUGGUUGGUGGUCUAGUAUUGCAGGAAUGGAGUUGCGUGGUUCAAUGGCCUUUUACUUCGCAGUAGCAAUUUCAGGAGCUGGAUGCUAGGGUCAGGAAGCUACAACAAGUGUAGAUGGUGUUGCAGAACAAGAAAUUGUGAUGGACUCCAUAGCUAGUUCACAGAUAUUUACAAUGUCUUUUGAUGGAAACAUGUAGCUCUAUGACAUAGUUCUACAUCAUUGAGCAUGCUUGAUUAUAAAUGAUAAUCUGGCCAGUAUGACAUAUAUGAAGGUGAUGAGCUAAACUGGAAGCAUCCACCUGCACGUGGAUGUCAAUGGACACUAUAUUCUCUGAUUGCAGGGAACAAACUCCGGGCACGCAAGAUAUCUUUCACCGUCCAUCGCUACUUGCCUGACAAAAGUUAUGAAGAUUGAGGAGUUGAUGAGCUGAUUGUUAAAGACUCUUGGAAGAGACAAGUUGUUGGGGCUCUUGUUAUCACACUAUGAUCAAUAUUCCUUGAUAAUCUCAUUCUCUUUGAAGGUUAGAUGGGUGGUGGCAAAAAUGGUGCGACUUUGGAGGACAUUCUAAUUCAUAAUUUCCCAUACAUGACUCCAAAAAACUGAACUGCAGCAUGGUAAGUUGGCUGACAAAGAAAAUCGGCCAACGGAGGGUCUUGUCACUAUAGGUGUAACUUCAGGUGCUUCUACCCAAGAUAAGAAAAGAUGCCAUGAAGCCGGCAAUUUAUGGAUGGAUUGGUUGAUUACAUCAUGUCAUUAUGCCAGCUGCAAAAAAAGAAUCGAGGUACCUUGUAGAGGCUAGUUGAAACUUGGGCAAGUCUUGUAGUGUGCCAACAUACACGCUCCCACUAUUUUCUUGUUGCUCUAAUCAUUAAAGCUAGGACCAAGUAUUGUGAGCAUAUUUGGAGUAACCCGGAAACAAUAGCUUCGUAGCAAUAUUUCUUAUGUUCCGGACUGGAAUUUCAUUGAAUUUUUUUCUAAGUUUAUAAUGUUGUAGGGAUUAGUGAUUCGCUGAUCAGGUCAGGGUUCAAUAUUAUUUGUAAUACGGGAAUAGAUUUAGCAAUUUAUUUAUUUUAUACUAAUAAAAUAAUUUGCAAUGGAUGUAUAUGUUGCUUAAAUUAUUUUAAACGUUGCA
Molecule: long non-coding RNA, 1956 nt
Organism: Papaver somniferum (opium poppy)
Lineage: Eukaryota; Viridiplantae; Streptophyta; Magnoliopsida; Ranunculales; Papaveraceae
Exons: 8
Source: RefSeq, a predicted model, not a curated record